AUUGAACGCUGGCGGCAUGCCUUACACAUGCAAGUCGAACGGCAGCGCGGACUUCGGUCUGGCGGCGAGUGGCGAACGGGUGAGUAAUACAUCGGAACGUACCCUGUUGUGGGGGAUAACUAGUCGAAAGAUUAGCUAAUACCGCAUACGACCUCAGGGUGAAAGUGGGGGACCGCAAGGCCUCACGCAGCAGGAGCGGCCGAUGUCUGAUUAGCUAGUUGGUGGGGUAAAGGCCCACCAAGGCGACGAUCAGUAGCUGGUCUGAGAGGACGAUCAGCCACACUGGGACUGAGACACGGCCCAGACUCCUACGGGAGGCAGCAGUGGGGAAUUUUGGACAAUGGGGGCAACCCUGAUCCAGCAAUGCCGCGUGUGUGAAGAAGGCCUUCGGGUUGUAAAGCACUUUUGUCCGGAAAGAAAUCGCGCUGGUUAAUACCUGGCGUGGAUGACGGUACCGGAAGAAUAAGCACCGGCUAACUACGUG
RNAcentral lists this ribosomal RNA (484 nucleotides) under uncultured bacterium. RNAcentral describes it as "partial 16S ribosomal RNA". It matches the Rfam family "Bacterial small subunit ribosomal RNA", at positions 30 to 507 of the family's 1533-position model. The record is from RNAcentral.